AAGGUUAACAGUCAGAGAGAAAGAAACAGACCUCUCCUUCAGCUUUGAGCUGAAUGCGGGUACUGAGUUCAGCAAGAAGGACCAAAUCCAAGAUAAUUGGAGCAGCCAAAAGAGAAUCCUCACAAGUAUUGUGCAAAACAAUGGUGUUCUUUCCUCCCAUGAAAAUCUCAGAUGUGUACUCAUCCAUUGCCCUUUUGCUGUCUCCCACAUAUGGCACAUACUGUAUCCCAAAAUCCAAUGCUACAAUUAGUCUAAUGCCUCGUCUUUUUAUGAUAUUCUUUUAAUUGUGAAAAGAUGUACUUUACCUUAAUCACAACAACAUGGUCAGGGUGCUCUCCAGGCUCAUAAAGAAUGGCAUUGCUUGAAACCAUGUCAUCAACAACAUUACUUUUCGAGAUCUCCUUUGAGCGGAAAGUUUGAGGGGCAGACAGAUUCAUUCCAUCAUUGUUACCCAAAUGGUUGUAGCUCACAAUUGAUGUUGGCUGUAAUUUUAACAAACACAAGUUUAACCAAUAUUCAACUUUCCUCUAUCAAGAAUCCCAUCUUUACAUAUCAAGUGUGCUAAUUUGAAGCACAAGUCAUACCUUAAUACCAGCUCCAACAAGGAAAUCAACCAGCACUGACUUCAUUUUGGUUUGACCACUCUUAAAGUCAUCACCACCAAUCAGUGUGUUCCUCUUGAUGGCCAAAUCAAUGAGGCCUAAGAAAUUUUCAGCAAAAUUUUAUUUAAUACAUAAAACUAACACACAGCUGAUUCCCAAAGCAAGUACUUUUAAUUUGAGAUUGAAACAGACCUGGCACAAAGGUGUUCUGUGGGCUUCCAUUAAUAAAAGGCACAUUUUCAAGAAUGCAGGCAAUAGCAUACAAAGUGGAAGGAGAUAUUUCAGCUUCAUUUCUGUCCACAGAAGCAAAGAGAUUUUCCAUAGUAUCAUUAAGUCCAACAACCACAUUACU
RNAcentral lists this long non-coding RNA (954 nucleotides) under Nicotiana tabacum (common tobacco). RNAcentral describes it as "long non-coding RNA (NTAB_LNC018707)". Lineage: Eukaryota; Viridiplantae; Streptophyta; Magnoliopsida; Solanales; Solanaceae. The record is from RNAcentral.